This 409-nucleotide ribosomal RNA is filed under the name Fusobacteriota bacterium. Its description in RNAcentral is "Fusobacteria bacterium partial 16S ribosomal RNA". It matches the Rfam family "Bacterial small subunit ribosomal RNA", at positions 355 to 776 of the family's 1533-position model. The record is from RNAcentral. Lineage: Bacteria; Fusobacteriati; Fusobacteriota.
UGGGGAAUAUUGCACAAUGGAGGGAACUCUGAUGCAGCAACGCCGCGUGCGGGAUGACGGCCUUCGGGUUGUAAACCGCUUUCAGCCAUGACGAAGCUUUUGUGCCGGUAGUGGUAGAAGAAGCACCGGCUAACUACGUGCCAGCAGCCGCGGUGAUACGUAGGGUGCGAGCGUUGUCCGGAAUUAUUGGGCGUAAAGAGCUUGUAGGCGGUUUGUCGCGUCGAUAGUGUAAACACGCAGCUUAACUGUGUGCCUGCUGUCGAUACGGGCUGGAUAGAGGAGGGUAGGGGAGAAUGGAAUUCCCGGUGGAGCGGUGGAAUGCGCAGAUAUCGGGAGGAACACCAGUGGCGAAGGCGGUUCUCUGGACCUUUCCUGACGCUGAGAAGCGAAAGCGUGGGUAGCAAACAGG